UAACAAAAAAAUUACCAAAUUUACGAACCAUGGUGAAUGUGGUGAUUUUAAUACAAUAUUGAAAGUUAAAAAAGCCAACCAGCAGUAUGGUUCAAGUGUGGAAGCUCCGUAGCUGUAUUCGAAAAAAAUGAAAAGAGAAAACGAAUAGCCACUUACUAGUAAAUUCCGUUCGUAAUAUUUUGAAACAGAUCAUAAAGUCUCGUCCAAACACUACAAUUUGCCUUUUGAAUCAACAAAUCCACAAAGUCAUCACAUUCUUUGUCACCAAGCUGUAGUUGAAAACGUUGCAAAAGUUGUGCACUUGUGUUUUCACCAGCACGAAAGCAAGGCAUUGUGGAAUUAUUUUGCAUAACUUCAACAAGCAAAAUGAUCUGAUCAGCGUUUUUUCGAACAGAUUUAAACGCAGCUUUCAUCAAGGAACGAUAUUCAUCAAACCGGUCGUCAAGGAUUUCUAAAUAAUCCGCCGUAAGCUUAAAUGGAGCGCUUUCAAAGCCAACAUUCCCCGGUGUAUUCGUAAGUAAAAAGCCAAAAUCAAUAUGUAUAAUAUGACCUUCACUAUCAAUAAGAACGUUACCAUUAUGUCUAUCCUUUAACUGUAGUAAGUAUGAUAUAAUGCUAUAUGCCACUAAUGAUUG
Non-coding RNA from Schizosaccharomyces pombe (fission yeast), 635 nucleotides. The record is from the annotation of a GenBank genome assembly. NCBI's taxonomy places the organism in Eukaryota, Fungi, Ascomycota, Schizosaccharomycetes, Schizosaccharomycetales, Schizosaccharomycetaceae.